GUGAACUUUGUCAAGCUACUGUUAUUAUGAAGAAUAGAACAGAUGAACUGGAAGAGCAAAAUACAUCACUGAGAAAUCUGCUUGAUUCUGAGAUGGAACAUUCUUCCAUACUCAGGCUAGAAAUUGAUAACCUGAGAAGGAAAGUGGCAGAACA
This is a long non-coding RNA of Nanorana parkeri, 154 nucleotides long. RefSeq lists it as uncharacterized. The record is from RefSeq and is a predicted model, not a curated record. The transcript has 2 exons. NCBI's taxonomy places the organism in Eukaryota, Metazoa, Chordata, Amphibia, Anura, Dicroglossidae.